UGGUCCUUGAGUUGUUGACUGACCAUGUAUCAGAGGACACGCAACAACACACUUCCUGAUCUUGUCGAUGAACACCGGAAUAGGAGUAACACAUAAUGUCAGCUUGCAGAUUUUGCACUAGGAGUGGCAUCAAUACAUAUUUGGAGAGGCUAAGUUGGUCUGCUUCCAGCCCUUAUAUCCAGUGUGCCAGCUCGGGGACUCACACCAAGAUAAGUCUGCGAGGAAACAUAGGGAUGAUCUCUGGAAUCCAUUGCCUCUUAACUGUCUCCCACUGACACAGCCGCUGCCGAGGUUUGCCGCCUACACUGUCCUUCCCUCUCCAACCAGGUAGCCACCGUCGCGUAGGUUGAUUGGCCGUCGGUGUGCCGCUCAGGAGGUCUGAUCCAUUUGUCCUCCUUUCAUUUAAAUUCCAUCCAUGAAUUGUUCAAAUGAUUGAAAAAUGCAUAACAAAUCAUAUAUCCAAAGUCCUGAU
This is a long non-coding RNA of Lolium rigidum, 472 nucleotides long. RefSeq lists it as uncharacterized. The record is from RefSeq and is a predicted model, not a curated record. The transcript is spliced from 4 exons. NCBI's taxonomy places the organism in Eukaryota, Viridiplantae, Streptophyta, Magnoliopsida, Poales, Poaceae.